Molecule: non-coding RNA, 99 nt
Organism: Acanthosepion pharaonis
Lineage: Eukaryota; Metazoa; Mollusca; Cephalopoda; Sepiida; Sepiidae
Source: the annotation of a GenBank genome assembly
GGUUAAAACACCGGUUCCCGUAAAGUCACCGAAGUUAAGCAACGUCGAGCCUGGUCAGUGCCUAGAUGACUGACCGCUUGGGAAUACUAAGUACUGUAA